RNAcentral lists this ribosomal RNA (440 nucleotides) under uncultured bacterium. RNAcentral describes it as "partial 16S ribosomal RNA". It matches the Rfam family "Bacterial small subunit ribosomal RNA", at positions 338 to 795 of the family's 1533-position model. The record is from RNAcentral.
CCUACGUGUGGCUGCAGUGGGGAAUAUUGCACAAUGGGGGGAACCCUGAUGCAGCGACGCCGCGGGAGUGAAGAAGUAUUUCGGUAUGUAAAGCUCUAUCAGCAGGGAAGAAGAUGACGGUACCUGACUAAGAAGCCCCGGCUAACUACGUGCCAGCAGCCGCGGUAAUACGAAGGGGGCAAGCGUAAUCCGGCUUUACUGGGUGUAAAGGGAGCGUAGACGGCAGGGCAAGUCUGGCUUGAAAGCCCGGGGCCCAACCCCGGGACUGCUUUGGAAACUGCCAUGCUGGAGUGCUGGAGCGGUAAGCGGAUUUCCUAGUGUAGCGGUGAACUGCGUAGAGAUCGGGAGGAACACCAGUGGCGAAGGCGGCCUACUGGGCUUUAACUGCCGCUGAGGCACGAAAGCCUGGGUAGCAAACAGGAUUAGAUACCCUUGUAGUC